This 24-nucleotide transfer RNA is filed under the name Dendropsophus reticulatus. Its description in RNAcentral is "partial tRNA-Gln". The record is from RNAcentral. Lineage: Eukaryota; Metazoa; Chordata; Amphibia; Anura; Hylidae.
UAGAGAAAUAGGAAUUGAACCUAU